This 464-nucleotide ribosomal RNA is filed under the name Vreelandella stevensii. RNAcentral's name for it is "partial 16S ribosomal RNA". It matches the Rfam family "Bacterial small subunit ribosomal RNA", at positions 339 to 795 of the family's 1533-position model. Lineage: Bacteria; Pseudomonadati; Pseudomonadota; Gammaproteobacteria; Oceanospirillales; Halomonadaceae. The record is from RNAcentral.
CUACGGGUGGCAGCAGUGGGGAAUAUUGGACAAUGGGCGAAAGCCUGAUCCAGCCAUGCCGCGUGUGUGAAGAAGGCCUUCGGGUUGUAAAGCACUUUCAGUGGGGAAGAAAGCCUUGGGGCUAAUACCCUCGAGGAAGGACAUCACCCACAGAAGAAGCACCGGCUAACUCCGUGCCAGCAGCCGCGGUAAUACGGAGGGUGCGAGCGUUAAUCGGAAUUACUGGGCGUAAAGCGCGCGUAGGCGGUCUGAUAAGCCGGUUGUGAAAGCCCCGGGCUCAACCUGGGAACGGCAUCCGGAACUGUCAGGCUUGAGUGCAGGAGAGGAAGGUAGAAUUCCCGGUGUAGCGGUGAAAUGCGUAGAGAUCGGGAGGAAUACCAGUGGCGAAGGCGGCCUUCUGGACUGACACUGACGCUGAGGUGCGAAAGCGUGGGUAGCAAACAGGAUUAGAUACCCCAGUAGUC